GAUGAACGCUGGCGGCGUGCCUAAUACAUGCAAGUCGAGCGAACAGACGAGGAGCUUGCUCCUCUGACGUUAGCGGCGGACGGGUGAGUAACACGUGGAUAACCUACCUAUAAGACUGGGAUAACUUCGGGAAACCGGAGCUAAUACCGGAUAAUAUAUUGAACCGCAUGGUUCAAUAGUGAAAGACGGUUUUGCUGUCACUUAUAGAUGGAUCCGCGCCGCAUUAGCUAGUUGGUAAGGUAACGGCUUACCAAGGCGACGAUGCGUAGCCGACCUGAGAGGGAGAUCGGCCACACUGGAACUGAGACACGGUCCAGACUCCUACGGGAGGCAGCAGUAGGGAAUCUUCCGCAAUGGGCGAAAGCUUGACGGAGCAACGCCGCGUGAGUGAUGAAGGUCUUCGGAUCGUAAAACUCUGUUAUUAGGGAAGAACAAAUGUGUAAGUAACUAUGCACGUCUUGACGGUACCUAAUCAGAAAGCCACGGCUAACUACGUG
RNAcentral lists this ribosomal RNA (497 nucleotides) under uncultured bacterium. Its description in RNAcentral is "partial 16S ribosomal RNA". It matches the Rfam family "Bacterial small subunit ribosomal RNA", at positions 28 to 507 of the family's 1533-position model. The record is from RNAcentral.